AUCGUUCAUAUCACCACUUCGAAAAGAAAAAAAAAAACCUAACCCCCUCUUUUUAUCUGAUUACCCUCUGCUUUCCCGAAUCUAAAAUUAGCUCCGAUUGAUCUCUUCCUUGAUGAACUGCGAUGAGUCUCUCCGGCCACCGUCGCCCACGGUCCUCCGAGUCAGGUCCAGCAGCUGCAACGUAGAUGGAUGCCACCAGGUGCCAUACCGCCAAGCUCCAUACCGCCAGGAGCCACACGUUCUACAAGCGCAGCAUCUUCACACGCCAACAACUACAGCCAGCUAACUCUCGAUGCAUUGCUGAGUGCUCCUGAAAGAGAAUCCCAGCCACACCUCCACCCGAAGAAACUCAAUGGAGCUUUAUGGUUAGUUUGGAGACAAACUUCAAGACGCUCAACACCAAUGUUGCCGAUUUGAAUAAUAACAUGGGAAUGGUUAUGGAAGAGAUGUUUGCAUCACGACAAGCACUUAAUCUGAUCAUGUAGUGGAGUUAGACAACUCUCUGCUGCUGCUGCUGCUGCUGCUGCUACAACUUCUGCUGCUGCUCAUGCUCCAGCUUCUACAACAGCUGCUCCUGCCCCAGCUUCUACAACUUCUGCUCCUGCUCCUGCAUCAUUAGGUAUUUAAGUUUCGGUCAAUGAUAGUUAAGCUUUUUUGUUGAACUUUCUAACGAUAGACUUUUAUUUAGCAAGUCUUUUGGUAAAAUGUAAGACAAAACUACUUAAUACUUUUUGGUAAUAUGUAAACAUCAAACUAAUUAUGGUAAUGUAAAAUAUCGUUAUUUGGAUUUCAUGUUUUGUGA
Camelina sativa (false flax) is the source of this 802-nucleotide long non-coding RNA. RefSeq lists it as uncharacterized. NCBI's taxonomy places the organism in Eukaryota, Viridiplantae, Streptophyta, Magnoliopsida, Brassicales, Brassicaceae. The record is from RefSeq and is a predicted model, not a curated record.